CUACGGGUGGCAGCAGUGGGGAAUAUUGCACAAUGGAGGAAACUCUGAUGCAGCAACGCCGCGUGGAGGAUGACACUUUUCGGAGCGUAAACUCCUUUUAUAUAGGAAGAAGAUGACGGUACUAUAUGAAUAAGCGCCGGCUAACUCCGUGCCAGCAGCCGCGGUAAUACGGAGGGCACAAGCGUUACUCGGAAUCACUGGGCGUAAAGAGCGUGUAGGCGGAUUGAAAAGUCAGAAGUGAAAUCCUAUAGCUUAACUAUAGAACUGCUUCUGAAACUCUUAAUCUAGAAUAUGGGAGAGGUAGAUGGAAUUUCUGGUGUAGGGGUAAAAUCCGUAGAGAUCAGAAGGAAUACCGAUUGCGAAGGCGAUCUACUAGAACAUUAUUGACGCUGAGACGCGAAAGCGUGGGGAGCAAACAGGAUUAGAUACCCGCGUAGUC
RNAcentral lists this ribosomal RNA (439 nucleotides) under uncultured bacterium. RNAcentral describes it as "partial 16S ribosomal RNA". It matches the Rfam family "Bacterial small subunit ribosomal RNA", at positions 339 to 795 of the family's 1533-position model. The record is from RNAcentral.